GGAGAUGUGGCUCAGUGGUAGAGUGCUCGCCUAGCAUGUGUGAGGCCCUGGGUUCAAUUCUCAGCACCA
RNAcentral lists this transfer RNA (69 nucleotides) under Ictidomys tridecemlineatus (thirteen-lined ground squirrel). RNAcentral describes it as "Spermophilus tridecemlineatus (thirteen-lined ground squirrel) tRNA". It matches the Rfam family "tRNA". From Rfam's summary of the family: Transfer RNA (tRNA) molecules are approximately 80 nucleotides in length. Their secondary structure includes four short double-helical elements and three loops (D, anti-codon, and T loops). The record is from Rfam by way of RNAcentral. Lineage: Eukaryota; Metazoa; Chordata; Mammalia; Rodentia; Sciuridae.